UAUAUAUAUAUAUAUGUUGAAAGGCUUUUGGUCGCACAAAAGUCAACAAACCUAAUCCCCACUAAUGUAAUAUAGGGCUGACUAGGGAUCAAUCCAAGGACUUGGCAAAAUCAAGUUUAUAAUUAUAGAAUUAAACCUAAUUACUAUUUACUAAAAACUAAAACUGGUGGAGAAAUAAAAUGUAAAAAUAAAAUCUAAAAAAAUGAAACUGAAAGAAUUAAUAUCUAAGUAAUACCAAUGGAAAAAGAGAAAGAAAACAAUGCAUGAUAUCUACGGUAACUAAUGUAAUAUGUAUUAACAAGACCAAGCUAAUGCAAUUAAAAGAAUCUUAAAAACUAAAAAGAAACUAAAACAGAAUUCACAAUCUAAAAUUCAAGUAAUAUGAAG
Molecule: long non-coding RNA, 387 nt
Filed under: Vigna radiata
Lineage: Eukaryota; Viridiplantae; Streptophyta; Magnoliopsida; Fabales; Fabaceae
Description: long non-coding RNA (VRAD_LNC001270)
Source: RNAcentral